This is a long non-coding RNA of Poecilia reticulata (guppy), 225 nucleotides long. RefSeq lists it as uncharacterized. Lineage: Eukaryota; Metazoa; Chordata; Actinopteri; Cyprinodontiformes; Poeciliidae. The record is from RefSeq and is a predicted model, not a curated record.
UUACCAAGAUUUUCUGGUGAAAGGAGGAGACAUACUGUCAGGCAGAGGAAAGAUGGUUGACAACAAACGACUGCAGAGCCCAAUCUUUUCACCACAAAGGCAAAAAGGAAGGCUUUCUCCUACACCCAGAGAUUGAACAAGAUGCUGCUUAACACUGUUACAGCAGUCUGGAUCAACAGAUGUGAUUUAUAGUUUUGUUUAGUUCAGGGAAAUAAUGCCAUCAGG